Molecule: ribosomal RNA, 170 nt
Filed under: uncultured bacterium
Lineage: Bacteria
Description: partial 16S ribosomal RNA
Rfam family: Bacterial small subunit ribosomal RNA
Source: RNAcentral
AGGCAGCAGUAGGGAAUUUUCGUCAAUGGGCGCAAGCCUGAACGAGCGAUGCCGCGUGAGUGAAGAAGGCCUUCGGGUCGUAAAGCUCUGUUGCGGGGAAAAAAGGCAGCAUCAGGAAAUGGGUGCUGACUGAUGGUGCCCCGCCAGAAAGUCACGGCUAACUACGUGCC